UUAUCGGAGAGUUUGAUCCUGGCUCAGGACGAACGCUGGCGGCGUGCCUAAUACAUGCAAGUCGAGCGGACAGAUGGGAGCUUGCUCCCUGAUGUUAGCGGCGGACGGGUGAGUAACACGUGGGUAACCUGCCUGUAAGACUGGGAUAACUCCGGGAAACCGGGGCUAAUACCGGAUGGUUGUUUGAACCGCAUGGUUCAAACAUAAAAGGUGGCUUCGGCUACCACUUACAGAUGGACCCGCGGCGCAUUAGCUAGUUGGUGAGGUAACGGCUCACCAAGGCGACGAUGCGUAGCCGACCUGAGAGGGUGAUCGACCACACUGGGACUGAGACACGACCAGACUCCUACGGGAGGCAGCAGUAGGGAAUCUUCCGCAAUGGACGAAAGUCUGACGGAGCAACGCCGCGUGAGUGAUGAAGGUUUUCGGAUCGUAAAGCUCUGUUGUUAGGGAAGAACAAGUACCGUUCGAAUAGGGCGGUACCUUGACGGUACCUAACCAGAAAGCCACGGCUAACUACGUGCCAGCAGCCGCGGUAAUACGUAGGUGGCAAGCGUUGUCCGGAAUUAUUGGGCGUAAAGGGCUCGCAGGCGGUUUCUUAAGUCUGAUGUGAAAGCCCCCGGCUCAACCGGGGAGGGUCAUUGGAAACUGGGGAACUUGAGUGCAGAAGAGGAGAGUGGAAUUCCACGUGUAGCGGUGAAAUGCGUAGAGAUGUGGAGGAACACCAGUGGCGAAGGCGACUCUCUGGUCUGUAACUGACGCUGAGGAGCGAAAGCGUGGGGAGCGAACAGGAUUAGAUACCCUGGUAGUCCACGCCGUAAACGAUGAGUGCUAAGUGUUAGGGGGUUUCCGCCCCUUAGUGCUGCAGCUAACGCAUUAAGCACUCCGCCUGGGGAGUACGGUCGCAAGACUGAAACUCAAAGGAAUUGACGGGGGCCGCACAAGCGGUGGAGCAUGUGGUUUAAUUCGAAGCAACGCGAAGAACCUUACCAGGUCUUGACAUCCUCUGACAAUCCUAGAGAUAGGACGUCCCCUUCGGGGGCAGAGUGACAGGUGGUGCAUGGUUGUCGUCAGCUCGUGUCGUGAGAUGUUGGGUUAAGUCCCGCAACGAGCGCAACCCUUGAUCUUAGUUGCCAGCAUUCAGUUGGGCACUCUAAGGUGACUGCCGGUGACAAACCGGAGGAAGGUGGGGAUGACGUCAAAUCAUCAUGCCCCUUAUGACCUGGGCUACACACGUGCUACAAUGGACAGAACAAAGGGCAGCGAAACCGCGAGGUUAAGCCAAUCCCACAAAUCUGUUCUCAGUUCGGAUCGCAGUCUGCAACUCGACUGCGUGAAGCUGGAAUCGCUAGUAAUCGCGGAUCAGCAUGCCGCGGUGAAUACGUUCCCGAGCCUUGUACACACCGCCCGUCACACCACGAGAGUUUGUAACACCCGAAGUCGGUGAGGUAACCUUUUAGGAGCCAGCCGCCGAAGGUGGGACAGAUGAUUGGGGUGAAGUCGUAACAAGGUAGCCGUAUCGGAAGGUGCGGCUGGAUCACCUCCUUU
This 1548-nucleotide ribosomal RNA is filed under the name Bacillus subtilis. RNAcentral describes it as "16S ribosomal RNA". It matches the Rfam family "Bacterial small subunit ribosomal RNA". The record is from RNAcentral. Lineage: Bacteria; Bacillati; Bacillota; Bacilli; Caryophanales; Bacillaceae.